AGCCAGGCUAGACACAAGAAAGGACCUUGGAGGGCUUCAAGUGGGAGACUGCAAUCAUAAAUCCUGGAGCUCCCAUUUGUGAGACCUGACCUCAAGUCCUCAGGAAUUGGCUUUAAUGGAAGAGCUGGACUAUAGGAUGAGUAAGAGGGUGGAGGAAGAGCCUAGAUGAAAGUACAAAUGGAAAUACACACCCGCCAUUAAAUGAAGUCCUUCCAUCCUGCCAUUUUGAAAAUCAAACCCACUUCCAGGUA
RNAcentral lists this long non-coding RNA (251 nucleotides) under Monodelphis domestica (gray short-tailed opossum). RNAcentral's name for it is "lncRNA (ENSMODG00000044014.1)". The record is from RNAcentral. Lineage: Eukaryota; Metazoa; Chordata; Mammalia; Didelphimorphia; Didelphidae.